CCGUGCGCGMAGUGAAAGCGAACGGAGGUGGGAGCCCCCUCGAGGGGCGCACCAUCGACCGAUCCUGAAGUCUUCGGAUGGAUUUGAGUAGGAGCGUAGCUGUGGGGACCCGAAAGAUGGUGAACUAUGCCUGAAUAGGGUGAAGCCAGAGGAAACUCUGGUGGAGGCUCGCAGCGGUUCUGACGUGCAAAUCGAUCGUCAAAUUUGGGUAUAGGGGCGAAAGACUAAUCGAACCAUCUGGUAGCUGGUUCCUGCCGAAGUUUCCCUCAGGAUAGCAGUAACGCGAAAUCAGUUUUAUGAGGUAAAGCGAAUGAUUAGAGGCAUUGGGGUUGAAACAACCUUAACCUAUUCUCAAACUUUAAAUAUGUAAGAAGCCCUUGUUUCUUAAUUGAACGUGGGCAUUAGAAUGGAGCGUUACUAGUGG
This 424-nucleotide ribosomal RNA is filed under the name Amicrocentrum concolor. Its description in RNAcentral is "eukaryotic LSU rRNA". It matches the Rfam family "Eukaryotic large subunit ribosomal RNA", at positions 708 to 1129 of the family's 3401-position model. The record is from RNAcentral. Lineage: Eukaryota; Metazoa; Arthropoda; Insecta; Hymenoptera; Braconidae.